AGCAGCCGCGGUAAUUCCAGCUCCAAUAGCGUAUAUUAAAGUUGUUGCAGUUAAAAAGCUCGUAGUUGAAUUUCGAGAUCAAAUUGUUGGUCGUGCCUUGGUACGCACUGGCAUUAUUGAUUUCUCCCUUCUGAAGAACCAUGAUGUCAUUAAUUUGGUGUCAUGGGGAAUCAGGACUGUUACUUUGAAAAAUUAGAGUGUUUAAAGCAGGCUCGCGCUUGAAUACAUUAGCAUGGAUAAUGAAAUAGGACGUUUGAUUCUAUUUUGUUGGUUUCUAGGAUCGACGUAAUGAUUAAUAGGGAUAGUUGGGGGCAUUUAGAAUUCAAUUGUCAGAGGUGAAAUUCUUGGA
Molecule: ribosomal RNA, 349 nt
Filed under: uncultured Glomus
Lineage: Eukaryota; Fungi; Glomeromycota; Glomeromycetes; Glomerales; Glomeraceae
Description: SSU rRNA
Rfam family: Eukaryotic small subunit ribosomal RNA
Source: RNAcentral